This is a non-coding RNA of Paramuricea clavata, 563 nucleotides long. NCBI's taxonomy places the organism in Eukaryota, Metazoa, Cnidaria, Anthozoa, Malacalcyonacea, Plexauridae. The record is from the annotation of a GenBank genome assembly.
ACACAACCUCGUACCCAGGAUCUUUCUUUGGGAAAGACCCUGGCUGCGGCUGGUCACGUGCUUCAUCAAAAAUUUAGCGCCUGAGGGGGUGUGGGGAAAGUAUCAAAUUACAUCAACAUGCUUCCAGCGGGAUAUUCGUCAAAAACAUAGAUUUUGCGAAUUAUUACGUUCAAAAUACUUGCUAAUUUUUGUUUAUUUUCUUUGCUUUGAAUUUACAAGAACAUUGUUACAUUCUUACUUACAGUCAAGUCAAGAAACCAAGCAAAUCGUUACUCGCAGUGCUCUCUCGUGUUGUUAUUCAAUGCAUGCUCUCUUCACACUCGAGCGCGGUUAUAACAAACGUUUAUUUGUUGUAAUGUUUUUAAAAUAGGCCAUUACAUUUGUCCUUUCUUGUAAACGUUGAUACGCUUUGCACCGAUUCACUUGUUACUACGCGUCUUGUUUAUAAGAUUUUUAAAAGAAACAGUAUUGUCUAGGACUGGCCCAAAUAUUAGCAAAUGUAAACAUUUGAUAAUAGCCGAACAGAGAAAUGUCCAUAAGCAUAGAGGAAAUUUCAGUCAUUG